GAUGAACGCUGGCGGCGUGCCUAAUACAUGCAAGUCGAGCGACCAGACGAGGAGCUUGCUCCUUCGACGUUAGCGGCGGACGGGUGAGUAACACGUAGGUCACCUACCUAUAAGACUGGGAUAACUUCGGGAAACCGCUGCUACUACCGGAUCAUAUUUCGAACCGCAUGGUUCGAUAGUGCAUGAUGGCUUUGCUAUCACUUAUAGAUGGUCCUGCGCCGUAUUAGCUAGUUGGUAAGGUAACGGCUUACCAAGGCAACGAUACGUAGCCGACCUGAGAGGGUGAUCGGCCACCCUGGAACUGAGACACGGUCCAGACUCCUACGGGAGGCAGCAGUAGGGAAUCUUCCGCAAUGGGCGAAAGCCUGACGGAGCAACGCCGCGUGAGUGAUGAAGGUCUUCGGAUCGUAAAACUCUGUUAUUAGGGAAGAACAAACGUGGAAGUAACUGUGCACGUCUUGACGGUACCAAAUCAGAAAGCCACGGCUAACUACGUG
This 497-nucleotide ribosomal RNA is filed under the name uncultured bacterium. RNAcentral describes it as "partial 16S ribosomal RNA". It matches the Rfam family "Bacterial small subunit ribosomal RNA", at positions 28 to 507 of the family's 1533-position model. The record is from RNAcentral.